Cygnus olor (mute swan) is the source of this 661-nucleotide long non-coding RNA. RefSeq lists it as uncharacterized. NCBI's taxonomy places the organism in Eukaryota, Metazoa, Chordata, Aves, Anseriformes, Anatidae. The record is from RefSeq and is a predicted model, not a curated record. The transcript has 3 exons.
AUAUCGGUGUGUGCAUAUUUCAUCAUUAAGUGUUAGGCAGCAGCCCUGACUGUGUGUGCUGCCUUUGUGACCCCCAGGCCUGGAGCAGCCAGGCAACAGCAGGGCUGUGUGUGCAGGCUGAAGGAGAAGCCCGCGCAGGAGGGACUACAUCCUAAAUGGCUGAGAGCUCAGAAGAGCCUAACUCUGCCAGUGAGUGUAAUUAGCAUGGCACCCAUUUUACUUCAUAGAUUUAGCAAGCUUUGUUAUUUACUAUUUCUUUUAAAGACACAUAACAUAUGAACUAACUUAUAUCCAGGAAUUCCAAUAAAGCCUUAAUUUUUGGAAGAUGCAGACUGGGAAACAAGCAGUUAUAAUAAAUAUUUAUGUUUCUGCACAGGUACCAGCAUAUUGUCAAAUUUCAAGGCCAAUGGUUUUAUAAGUUCAAAAUAUUCAGAUAGUUCCCCAGUUUGGCCACAGCCUUUCCACAAGGUGAGCUCAGCUAAAAAACACUGCCAGAACUAAGCAUGGACCCUUUCAAGAAAGAGAACACGUUCAGGACCUCUGCUCCUUUAAGACAUUUAAGGAACUUGUGAUAAAUAACAUUCAGUGUGAGCACGUGAUGAAUCCUGGAGAUACUGCUGAAAACAUUCAGUAAUUUUUCUGAUAGUAAAAUUUUUUCUGA